AAAGGGAGACCUAAUUCGGGUAUAAGACGAAAAAAUAGUAGUCGAAACCAAGAAUCAAUCCCAAAAGGUCGGAACGAGGUAUGUGGCUUUCAAACUAGGUUCUGGGUUCAAACAAGACCUGAAUCAGGAACAAGGGCUAUUAGCUCAGGUGGUUAGAGCGCACCCCUGAUAAGGGUGAGGUCCCUGGUUCGAGUCCAGGAUGGCCCACCUGUACAGGUGGCAAAAAGAAAGAAAAGAAGCGAGGAAUCAGCACCUUAUCUUACUGACAUAGUAAGAGAGAAUGCUGGCUCUGAGUAAAGAGUCCAGAGGAACCUUGAAAACUGCAUAGAGCUAGGUGAAAAAGCCAAAAAAGAAGACCGCAAG
Molecule: transfer RNA, 363 nt
Filed under: uncultured Microcystis sp.
Lineage: Bacteria; Bacillati; Cyanobacteriota; Cyanophyceae; Chroococcales; Microcystaceae
Description: partial 16S-23S ribosomal RNA intergenic spacer
Rfam family: tRNA (bases 134-207)
Source: RNAcentral